RNAcentral lists this ribosomal RNA (449 nucleotides) under uncultured bacterium. RNAcentral describes it as "partial 16S ribosomal RNA". It matches the Rfam family "Bacterial small subunit ribosomal RNA", at positions 29 to 523 of the family's 1533-position model. The record is from RNAcentral.
AACGAACGCUGGCGGCAUGCUUAGCACAUGCAAGUCGAACGAGACCUUCGGGUCUAGUGGCGCACGGGUGCGUAACGCGUGGGAAUCUGCCCUUUGCUACGGAAUAACUCAGAGAAAUUUGUGCUAAUACCGUAUAAUGUCGUAAGACCAAAGAUUUAUCGGCAAAGGAUGAGCCCGCGUAAGAUUAGCUUGUUGGUGGGGUAAAGGCUCACCAAGGCGACGAUCUUUAGCUGGUCUGAGAGGAUGAUCAGCCACACUGGGACUGAGACACGGCCCAGACUCCUACGGGAGGCAGCAGUGGGGAAUAUUGGACAAUGGGCGAAAGCCUGAUCCAGCAAUGCCGCGUGAGUGAUGAAGGCCUUAGGGUUGUGAAGCUCUUUUACCAGGGAUGAUAAUGACAGUACCUGGAGAAUAAGCUCCGGCUAACUCCGUGCCAGCCGCCGCCGUAA